Molecule: non-coding RNA, 27 nt
Filed under: Cricetulus griseus (Chinese hamster)
Lineage: Eukaryota; Metazoa; Chordata; Mammalia; Rodentia; Cricetidae
Source: RNAcentral
AAGAAGGAAGAACAGGUGGGGGGGAGC